This 321-nucleotide unclassified non-coding RNA is filed under the name Hevea brasiliensis (rubber tree). Lineage: Eukaryota; Viridiplantae; Streptophyta; Magnoliopsida; Malpighiales; Euphorbiaceae. The record is from RNAcentral.
AAUCAGCACACCUAUGAAGCGCAAUACUGUUUCAAGUCUCUGAAAAUCAUUCGUGAUACAUGGUUCGAUGACCAAUUCUAUAGGAGUUAUUUUAUGUGGGACUCAUUUAUGUCGGGUAUAUCUGCUUCAAUCAUGCGUAAACAACAUAACCACCAAGGAGAAAAUGAAUUCGCUGAAAUGGAGUAUAUCAAUGUUACUGUAGUUACUUCAAAUAAGCCAUAUGGUGUAUCUGAUGGAUCAAAUCCAUUCUUUGAUGGUAAUAAAACUCCAAGGUUCAACUUAGAAAGAAAUGGAGUUCACAGCGGCCAUGUUCAGACGAGA